RNAcentral lists this ribosomal RNA (1228 nucleotides) under metagenome. Its description in RNAcentral is "bacterial LSU rRNA". It matches the Rfam family "Bacterial large subunit ribosomal RNA", at positions 1581 to 2822 of the family's 2925-position model. The record is from RNAcentral.
AGUAGCGAAGUUCCUGAUGUCACACUGCCAAGAAAAGCUUCUAGUGAGAAAGUAACUGCCCGUACCGCAAACCGACACAGGUAGUUGAGGAGAGAAUCCUAAGGUGUGCGAGAGAACUCUCGUUAAGGAACUCGGCAAAAUGACCCCGUAACUUCGGGAGAAGGGGUGCUGACCGCAAGGUCAGCCGCAGUGAAUAGGCCCAAGCGACUGUUUAUCAAAAACACAGGUCUCUGCAAAAUCGAAAGAUGACGUAUAGGGGCUGACGCCUGCCCGGUGCUGGAAGGUUAAGAGGAGAGGUUAGCGCAAGCGAAGCUUUGAAUUGAAGCCCCAGUAAACGGCGGCCGUAACAAUAACGGUCCUAAGGUAGCGAAAUUCCUUGUCGGGUAAGUUCCGACCCGCACGAAAGGCGUAACGAUUUGGGCACUGUCUCAACGAGAGACUCGGUGAAAUUAUAGUACCAGUGAAGAUGCUGGUUACCCGCGACAGGACGGAAAGACCCCAUGGAGCUUUACUGCAGUCUGAUAUUGCGUGUUUGUAUCACAUGUACAGGAUAGGUAGGAGCCGAAGAUACCGGGACGCCAGUCUCGGAGGAGGCAACGGUGGGAUACUACCCUUGUGAUAUGACCACUCUAACCCGCUGCUCUUAGCGAGCAGGGAGACAGUGUCAGACGGGCAGUUUGACUGGGGCGGUCGCCUCCAAAAAUGUAACGGAGGCGCCCAAAGGUUCCCUCAGAAUGGUUGGAAAUCAUUCGUAGAGUGUAAAGGCAGAAGGGAGCUUGACUGCGAGACCUACAAGUCGAGCAGGGACGAAAGUCGGGCUUAGUGAUCCGGUGGUUCCGCAUGGAAGGGCCAUCGCUCAACGGAUAAAAGCUACCCUGGGGAUAACAGGCUUAUCUCCCCCAAGAGUUCACAUCGACGGGGAGGUUUGGCACCUCGAUGUCGGCUCAUCGCAUCCUGGGGCUAGUCGGUCCCAAGGGUUGGGCUGUUCGCCCAUUAAAGCGGUACGCGAGCUGGGUUCAGAACGUCGUGAGACAGUUCGGUCCCUAUCCGUCGCGGGCGUUGGAAAUUUGAGAGGAGCUGUCCUUGGUACGAGAGGACCGGGAUGGACACACCGCUGGUGUACCAGUUGUUCUGCCAAGAGCAUCGCUGGGUAGCUAUGUGUGGACGGGAUAAACGCUGAAAGCAUCUAAGCGUGAAGCCCCCCUCAGGAUGAGAUUUCCCAUCACUU